Molecule: ribosomal RNA, 616 nt
Filed under: uncultured bacterium
Lineage: Bacteria
Description: bacterial SSU rRNA
Rfam family: Bacterial small subunit ribosomal RNA (bases 1-524)
Source: RNAcentral
CCUACGGGAGGCAGCAGUGGGGAAUAUUGGGCAAUGGAGGAAACUCUGACCCAGCGACGCCGCGUGCGGGAUGAAGGCCUUCGGGUUGUAAACCGCUUUCAGCAGGGAAUAAGCGCAAGUGAAGGUACCUGCAGAAGAAGCACCGGCUAACUAUGUGCCAGCAGCCGCGGUAAUACAUAGGGUGCAAGCGUUGUCCGGAAUUAUUGGGCGUAAAGAGCUCGUAGGUGGUUUGUUACGUCGGAUGUGAAAUUCAGGGGCUCAACCCCUGACUUGCAUUCGAUACGGGCAAGCUGGAGUUUGGUAGGGGAGACUGGAAUUCCUGGUGUAGCGGUGGAAUGCGCAGAUAUCAGGAGGAACACCGAUGGCGAAGGCAGGUCUCUGGGCCAAUACUGACACUGAGGAGCAAAAGCGUGGGGAGCGAACAGGAUUAGAUACCCUGGUAGUCCACGCCGUAAACGGUGGGCACUAGUUGUGCGAACCUUCCACGGUUUGUGCGACGCAGCUAACGCAUUAAGUGCCCCGCCUGGGGGAGGUACGAGUCGCAAGAAGUUAAAACUAACAAAUAGAAGUUAGACGGCGUGAGACGUGCCGAACGGACGACGACGACGGGAGGAGG